GGGAAGCAGAGCAGUAAGCCAGUCAGAUCUUCUUCUUCUUCUUCAUUUUUAGCAUUUUUUUUUAUGGCUUGAAAAUUCAUAAUUCUCAUACAAAAUUCAUAGAUUUCUACUCAGAUUGGUGAAAUCAGUGACAUUGGUUUAUUGCAUCGGGUGAUCACUUGUUGGCAUGCUUCUGAAGAUAUGGUGUAUAAGAAGAAGUUAGAUUUUGGUUUCAAUGGCUUUCAAGUUCCAGUUAUACCUAAAGCUCCUAGAUCAGUUAGAAGGAGACGUUCCUGUAAAAAAUUGGAUGAUGAUCAAAUUUGUGCAUUUGAAUUAUUGGCGGCUGUUGCCGGGAAGCUUUUACUGGAGAGCGAAAGCUCUACUUCCAGUAAUGCAGCAGAAGGGAAAAAUGAAAUUGCUGAUGGCAGGGAUGGUAUUAAAAGCGAACAAGUGGAAGAAGGUAAAGCUGUGAAAUCAGAGUGCCUUGACCAGGGGAGUUGUGUAGAAAGCGACUAUUUACCCGACACUGCAGUCCAAGAUCAGAAUUUGAAACAUGGUUUCGAUAAACCUCAUCAUGCAGAAAAUAAUUAUUUCUUGGAGCAUACUUCUACUGUUAUAGGUUCUGACGCUGACUUGAAGUUGGAAAACUGCAAGGAGGUCAAUAUAACUGAUGGAAAAUUCCACCACAAAAUUGAAGGUGGAUCCUCUAGUCUCGAGGAUCCAUGUGAUAGUAAAAUCAGGACAGGAACCCAAAAGCACUUAGAUGAUGACAGCAAACAGAUUGAAGACGUAACUGUGACUAACACUUGUAGUGUAAAGAAUCCAAUCAAAGAAUGUGUUAAUAACAGUGGCUUGUUUAACUCAGAUGGUAGUGUACAGUUACCCUUGUACAGGGAUUCGGUUCCUAGUGCUUCUUUUGUAAA
Molecule: unclassified non-coding RNA, 902 nt
Filed under: Hevea brasiliensis (rubber tree)
Lineage: Eukaryota; Viridiplantae; Streptophyta; Magnoliopsida; Malpighiales; Euphorbiaceae
Source: RNAcentral